AAGGCCUUAGUUUAACAAAAACAUUUGAUUUGCACUCAGAUGAUGCAAGAUAAACUCUUGUAGGUCUUA
Molecule: transfer RNA, 69 nt
Filed under: Tampichthys ipni (lantern minnow)
Lineage: Eukaryota; Metazoa; Chordata; Actinopteri; Cypriniformes; Leuciscidae
Description: tRNA-Ala
Rfam family: tRNA
About the family: Transfer RNA (tRNA) molecules are approximately 80 nucleotides in length.
Source: RNAcentral